AUGGCAGGAUGUGAUUUUUCUUUAUUACCAAGCCUUCACUCUCAUUCCUUUGUCUUUUCUCCCCCCUCUCCUCCCCCCUCUCUGUCUCCUCCAGUGGGUGUGGUGCGGCCCACCCUGAGCGUCCUCCCCCCCUCCAGAGAGGAGCUGCAGCAGGACAGUGCCACACUGGUGUGUGUGGCCAGCGGGGGCUUCCCCUCAGCCUGGAGGCUGGGCUGGAAGGUGGGGGGCAGCAGCAGCAGCAGCUCCUCAGGGGUGUCACACAGCCUGAAGGUCCUGGGAGGGACGGCCACUACAGCUGGAGCAGCACCUCAGCCUCUCUGCAGACCAGUGGAGGAAGGCGGGCUCAGUGAGCUGUGAGGCCAGUCUGAAUGGACAGAGCCCUGUCACUCAAAGCCUGGACCCUGACCGCUGCUCAGAGUAGAGCUUCAGCAACACUUCCUGUCUGGAAAUGAUGCUGCUUCUUUCAUACACAUCUUCAUGAAGCUACACAUCUCCUCUCUUCACAUCUUUCUGCACUUUCACAGCUCUCUGCUCAGUGUUUUAGUCUGCAUGUUGCUUUCUAAUACUCAUCUUCUGCAUAUUCUUCUUUAUCUUCAUUACUUUUCAGCUUCAACUGAAUGUUAUUAGUUUCACUCCAACACAAACUAUUCAUUCAUCACAAAUGUGGCAUGAACAUUAAAUCGUCAUUAAAUA
Epinephelus fuscoguttatus (brown-marbled grouper) is the source of this 693-nucleotide non-coding RNA. Lineage: Eukaryota; Metazoa; Chordata; Actinopteri; Perciformes; Serranidae. The record is from the annotation of a RefSeq genome assembly.